This 95-nucleotide transfer RNA is filed under the name compost metagenome. Its description in RNAcentral is "tRNA-Ala". The record is from RNAcentral.
CCGCAGGCUGGCCGGCGGCGUGGGUCGGCGUGGGUUCGCGCUUCUCCACCGGCUCUGCGGGCAGGGGGAGGCCUGGUUCGGCCUGGUCUGUGGUC